AGAGUUUGAUCCUGGCUCAGAUUGAACGCUGGCGGCAUGCCUAACACAUGCAAGUCGAACGGCAGCAUAAUCUAGCUUGCUAGAUUGAUGGCGAGUGGCGGACGGGUGAGUAACGCGUAGGAAUAUACCUUGAAGAGGGGGAUAACUUGGGGAAACUCAAGCUAAUACCGCAUAAGCUCUGAGGAGUGAAGCUGGGGACCUUAGGGCCUGGCGCUUUGAGAUUAGCCUGCGUACGAUUAGCUAGUUGGCGGGGUAAGGGCCCACCAAGGCGACGAUCGUUAGCUGGUUUGAGAGAAUGGCCAGCCACACUGGAACUGAGACACGGUCCAGACUCCUACGGGAGGCAGCAGUGGGGAAUAUUGGACAAUGGGGGCAACCCUGAUCCAGCAAUGCCGCGUGUGUGAAGAAGGCCUGAGGGUUGUAAAGCACUUUCAGUGGGGAGGAGGAUUAUUAGGUUAAGAGCUAGAUAAUUGGACGUUACCCACAGAAGAAGCACCGGCUAACUCCGUGCCAGCAGCCGCGGUAAUACGGAGGGUGCGAGCGUUAAUCGGAAUUACUGGGCGUAAAGGGUGCGUAGGUGGUUAGAUAAGUUAUCUGUGAAAUCCCUGGGCUUAACCUGGGCAGGUCAGAUAAGACUGUUUGACUCGAGUAUGGGAGAGGGUAGUGGAAUUUCCGGUGUAGCGGUGAAAUGCGUAGAGAUCGGAAGGAACACCAGUGGCGAAGGCGGCUACCUGGCCUAAUACUGACACUGAGGCACGAAAGCGUGGGGAGCAAACAGGAUUAGAUACCCUGGUAGUCCACGCUGUAAACGAUGUCAACUAGCUGUUGGGUAUAUGAAUGUACUUAGUGGCGAAGCAAACGCGAUAAGUUGACCGCCUGGGGAGUA
This 886-nucleotide ribosomal RNA is filed under the name uncultured bacterium. RNAcentral's name for it is "bacterial SSU rRNA". It matches the Rfam family "Bacterial small subunit ribosomal RNA", at positions 8 to 882 of the family's 1533-position model. The record is from RNAcentral.